GAUGAAGAACGUAGCGAAAUGCGAUAAGUAAUGUGAAUUUCAGAAUUCAGUGAAUCAUCGAAUCUUUGAACGCACAUUGCGCCCUCUGGUAUUCCGGGGGGCAUGCCUGUUCGAGCGUCAUUAUAACCACUCAAGCUCUCGCUUGGUAUUGGGGUUCGCGGUUUCGCGGCCCCUAAAAUCAGUGGCGGUGCCUGUCGGCUCUACGCGUAGUAAUACUUCUCGCGAUUGAGUUCGAUAGGUCUACUUGCCAGUAACCCCCAAUUUUUACAGGUUGACCUCGGAUCAGGUAGGGAUACCCGCUGAACUUAAGCAUAUCAAUAAGCGGAGGA
This 329-nucleotide unclassified non-coding RNA is filed under the name soil metagenome. RNAcentral describes it as "partial contains 5.8S ribosomal RNA, internal transcribed spacer 2, and large subunit ribosomal RNA". The stretch from base 1 to 120 matches the Rfam family "5.8S ribosomal RNA", at positions 35 to 154 of the family's 154-position model. The record is from RNAcentral.